GGUUCUGGGGUGUCAACACGUGAGAUUGCAAAUCUCAAAAAGCAGGAUAAGACCUGCCGGGACUU
RNAcentral lists this transfer RNA (65 nucleotides) under Lithobates areolatus (crawfish frog). Its description in RNAcentral is "tRNA-Cys". Lineage: Eukaryota; Metazoa; Chordata; Amphibia; Anura; Ranidae. The record is from RNAcentral.